Molecule: ribosomal RNA, 468 nt
Filed under: uncultured bacterium
Lineage: Bacteria
Description: partial 16S ribosomal RNA
Rfam family: Bacterial small subunit ribosomal RNA
Source: RNAcentral
GGCGAACGCUGGCGGCGUGCUUAACACAUGCAAGUCGAACGGAAAGGCCCUGCUUUUGUGGGGUGCUCGAGUGGCGAACGGGUGAGUAACACGUGAGUAACCUGCCCUUGACUUUGGGAUAACUUCAGGAAACUGGGGCUAAUACCGGAUAGGAGCUCCUGCUGCAUGGUGGGGGUUGGAAAGUUUCGGCGGUUGGGGAUGGACUCGCGGCUUAUCAGCUUGUUGGUGGGGUAGUGGCUUACCAAGGCUUUGACGGGUAGCCGGCCUGAGAGGGUGACCGGCCACAUUGGGACUGAGAUACGGCCCAGACUCCUACGGGAGGCAGCAGUGGGGAAUAUUGCACAAUGGGCGGAAGCCUGAUGCAGCAGCGCCGCGUUCGGGAUGACGGCCUUCGGGUUGUAAACCGCUUUCGCCUGUGACGAAGCGUGAGUGACGGUAAUGGGUAAAGAAGCACCGGCUAACUACGUG